This 245-nucleotide ribosomal RNA is filed under the name uncultured Rhodospirillaceae bacterium. Its description in RNAcentral is "partial 16S ribosomal RNA". It matches the Rfam family "Bacterial small subunit ribosomal RNA", at positions 524 to 768 of the family's 1533-position model. The record is from RNAcentral. Lineage: Bacteria; Pseudomonadati; Pseudomonadota; Alphaproteobacteria; Rhodospirillales; Rhodospirillaceae.
UACGUAGGGUGCAAGCGUUGUUCGGAAUCACUGGGCGUAAAGGGCGCGUAGGCUGCUCGGCAAGUCAGGUGUGAAAUCCCGCAGCUCAACUGCGGAACUGCGCCUGAAACUGCCAAGCUCGAGUACGGGAGAGGGUAGCGGAAUUCCGAGUGUAGAGGUGAAAUUCGUAGAUAUUCGGAGGAACACCGGUGGCGAAGGCGGCUACCUGGACCGAUACUGACGCUGAGGCGCGAAAGCGUGGGGAG